RNAcentral lists this ribosomal RNA (460 nucleotides) under uncultured bacterium. RNAcentral describes it as "partial 16S ribosomal RNA". It matches the Rfam family "Bacterial small subunit ribosomal RNA", at positions 338 to 795 of the family's 1533-position model. The record is from RNAcentral.
CCUACGGGUCGCUGCAGUGAGGAAUAUUUGUCAAUGGACGAGAGUCUGAACCAGCCAAGUAGCGUGAAGGAUGCCUGCCCUAUGGGUUGUAAACUUCUUUUAUAUGGGAAUAAAACAGGGUAUGCAUACCCUCUUUUAUGUACCAUAUGAAUACGGAUCGGCUAACUCCGUGCCAGCAGCCGCGGUAAUACGGAGGAUCCGAGCGUUAUCCGGAUUUAUUGGGUUUAAAGGGAGCGUAGGUGGAUUGUUAAGUCAGUUGUGAAAGUUUGCGGCUCAACCGUAAAAUUGCAGUUGAAACUGGCAGUCUUGAGUACAGUAGAGGUGGGCGGAAUUCGUGGUGUAGCGGUGAAAUGCUUAGAUAUCACGAAGAACUCCGAUUGCGAAGGCAGCUCACUGGACUGCAACUGACACUGAUGCUCGAAAGUGUGGGUAUCAAACAGGAUUAGAUACCCCAGUAGUC